This 407-nucleotide ribosomal RNA is filed under the name uncultured bacterium. Its description in RNAcentral is "partial 16S ribosomal RNA". It matches the Rfam family "Bacterial small subunit ribosomal RNA", at positions 30 to 526 of the family's 1533-position model. The record is from RNAcentral.
AUUGAACGCUGGCGGCAGGCCUAACACAUGCAAGUCGAGCGGUGCGGCGGACGGGCGAGUAAUGCCUAGGUAUCUGCCUGGUAGUGGGGGAUAACGACCGGCAACGGGCGCUAAUUAAGAAUACUAUCCGAUGGGCGUAGGCCGGAUUAGCUAGUUGGUGGGGUAAAGGCCGACCAAGGCGACGGUCCGUAACUGGUCUGAGAGGAUGAUCAGUCACACUGGAACUGAGACACGGUCCAGACUCCUACGGGAGGCAGCAGUGGGGAAUAUUGGACAAUGGGCGAAAGCCUGAUCCAGCCAUGCCGCGUGUGUGAAGAAGGUCUUCGGAUUGUAAAGCACUUUAAGUUGGGAGGCGUUACCAACAGAAUAAGCACCGGCUAACUUCGUGCCAGCAGCCGCGGUAAUUC